Molecule: ribosomal RNA, 384 nt
Filed under: uncultured bacterium
Lineage: Bacteria
Description: bacterial SSU rRNA
Rfam family: Bacterial small subunit ribosomal RNA
Source: RNAcentral
AAACCACGGUGGUACAGGAUGGGCCCGCGUCUGAUUAGUUAGUUGGCAGGGUAACGGCCUACCAAGACAACGAUCAGUAGCCGGCUUGAGAGAGUCGACGGCCACAUUGGGACUGAGACACGGCCCAGACUCCUGCGGGAGGCAGCAGUGGGGAAUAUUGCACAAUGGGGGGAACCCUGAUGCAGCAAUGCCGCGUGGGUGAAGAAGCACUCCGGUGCGUAAAGCCCUGUCAGCAGGGAAGAAAAUGACAGUACCUGGACAAGAAGCCCCGGCUAACUACGUGCCAGCAGCCGCGGUAAUACGUAGGGGGCAAGCGUUAUCCGGAUUUACUGGGUGUUAAGGGAGCGCACGCGGCGUGGCAAGUCAGAUGUGAAAACCCGGGGC